AUUGAACGCUGGCGGCAGGCCUAACACAUGCAAGUCGAGCGAGCGGCGGACGGGUGAGUAAUGUCUGGGAAAAAGCCUGAUGGAGGGGGGUAACUACUGGAAACGGUAGCUAAUACCGCAUACCAUCAGAUGUGCACAGAUGGGAUUAGCUAGUAGGUGGGGUAACGGCUCCCCUAGGCGACGAUCCAUAGCUGGUCUGAGAGGAUGACCAGCCACACUGGACCUGCGACGUGGUCCAAGAUGCUCCGCGAGUCAGGAAUGGGUACUAUUGCACAAAGGGCGCAGGCCUGCUACAGCCAUGCGGCGUGUGUGAAGAAGGCCUUCGGGUUGUAAAGCACUUUCAGCGGGAGUGCGUUACCCGCAGAAGAAGCACCGGCUAACUCCGUGCCAGCAGCCGCGGUAAUAC
RNAcentral lists this ribosomal RNA (406 nucleotides) under uncultured bacterium. RNAcentral describes it as "partial 16S ribosomal RNA". It matches the Rfam family "Bacterial small subunit ribosomal RNA", at positions 30 to 526 of the family's 1533-position model. The record is from RNAcentral.